GACGAACGCUGGCGGCGUGCCUAAUACAUGCCAGUAGAACGCACAGUUUAUACCGUAGCUUGCUACACCAUACACUGUGAGUUGCGAACGGGUGAGUAACGCGUAGGUAACCUGCCUGGUAGCGGGGGAUAACUAUUGGAAACGAUAGCUAAUACCGCAUAAUAUUAAUUAUUGCAUGAUAAUUGAUUGAAAGAUGCAAUUGCAUCACUACCAGAUGGACCUGCGUUGUAUUAGCUAGUAGGUGAGGUAACGGCUCACCUAGGCGACGAUACAUAGCCGACCUGAGAGGGUGAUCGGCCACACUGGGACUGAGACACGGCCCAGACUCCUACAGGAGGCAGCAGUAGGGAAUCUUCGGCAAUGGACGAAAGUCUGACCGAGCAACGCCGCGUGAGUGAAGAAGGUUUUCGGAUCGUAAAGCUCUGUUGUAAGAGAAGAACGGGUGUGAGAGUGGAAAGUUCACACUGUGACGGUAUCUUACCAGAAAGGGACGGCUAACUACGUG
This 505-nucleotide ribosomal RNA is filed under the name uncultured bacterium. RNAcentral's name for it is "partial 16S ribosomal RNA". It matches the Rfam family "Bacterial small subunit ribosomal RNA", at positions 28 to 507 of the family's 1533-position model. The record is from RNAcentral.